Molecule: transfer RNA, 64 nt
Filed under: Senticolis triaspis
Lineage: Eukaryota; Metazoa; Chordata; Lepidosauria; Squamata; Colubridae
Description: tRNA-His
Source: RNAcentral
GUGUAUGUAAUUUAAAAAAAAUAUCAAGUUGUGACCCUGACAUUAGGAACUCACCUCAUACACC